AUCGCUUCUCGGCUCUCUGUGAGCUAAGAUCAAGUGUAGUAUCUGGUCUUAUCAGUUUAAUUCUGUUUAAUGGACACUUGCACACCCCUGUCCUGACGAUGGAAUCUCCUGCAGCUAUAUCUGAAAAGAUUGAUGCUGCUCUAGAGACUUUUUCUUCUUCUGAGACUGCUUUGCAUACUGAUACAGCUGAUUUGCAUAUGCACUGUUCUGAUGCUACUUUGGAAGAAAAUUU
This is a small nuclear RNA of Gopherus evgoodei (Goodes thornscrub tortoise), 232 nucleotides long. Its record names the gene U2. It matches the Rfam family "U2 spliceosomal RNA". Rfam says of the family: U2 is a small nuclear RNA (snRNA) component of the spliceosome (involved in pre-mRNA splicing). The record is from Ensembl. NCBI's taxonomy places the organism in Eukaryota, Metazoa, Chordata, Testudines, Testudinidae.